GGCUUCAGGAAUGAACGCCUGGCGGCGUGCCUAAUACAUGCAAGUCGAACGAGUUCUCGUUGAUGAUCGGUGCUUGCACCGAGAUUCAACAUGGAACGAGUGGCGGACGGGUGAGUAACACGUGGGUAACCUGCCCUUAAGUGGGGGAUAACAUUUGGAAACAGAUGCUAAUACCGCAUAGAUCCAAGAACCGCAUGGUUCUUGGCUGAAAGAUGGCGUAAGCUAUCGCUUUUGGAUGGACCCGCGGCGUAUUAGCUAGUUGGUGAGGUAAUGGCUCACCAAGGCGAUGAUACGUAGCCGAACUGAGAGGUUGAUCGGCCACAUUGGGACUGAGACACGGCCCAAACUCCUACGGGAGGCAGCAGUAGGGAAUCUUCCACAAUGGACGCAAGUCUGAUGGAGCAACGCCGCGUGAGUGAAGAAGGCUUUCGGGUCGUAAAACUCUGUUGUUGGAGAAGAAUGGUCGGCAGAGUAACUGUUGUCGGCGUGACGGUAUCCAACCAGAAAGCCACGGCUAACUACGUGCCAGCAGCCGCGGUAAUACGUAGGUGGCAAGCGUUAUCCGGAUUUAUUGGGCGUAAAGCGAGCGCAGGCGGUUUUUUAAGUCUGAUGUGAAAGCCCUCGGCUUAACCGAGGAAGCGCAUCGGAAACUGGGAAACUUGAGUGCAGAAGAGGACAGUGGAACUCCAUGUGUAGCGGUGAAAUGCGUAGAUAUAUGGAAGAACACCAGUGGCGAAGGCGGCUGUCUGGUCUGUAACUGACGCUGAGGCUCGAAAGCAUGGGUAGCGAACAGGAUUAGAUACCCUGGUAGUCCAUGCCGUAAACGAUGAAUGCUAGGUGUUGGAGGGUUUCCGCCCUUCAGUGCCGCAGCUAACGCAUUAAGCAUUCCGCCUGGGGAGUACGACCGCAAGGUUGAAACUCAAAGGAAUUGACGGGGGCCCGCACAAGCGGUGGAGCAUGUGGUUUAAUUCGAAGCAACGCGAAGAACCUUACCAGGUCUUGACAUCUUUUGAUCACCUGAGAGAUCAGGUUUCCCCUUCGGGGGCAAAAUGACAGGUGGUGCAUGGUUGUCGUCAGCUCGUGUCGUGAGAUGUUGGGUUAAGUCCCGCAACGAGCGCAACCCUUAUGACUAGUUGCCAGCAUUUAGUUGGGCACUCUAGUAAGACUGCCGGUGACAAACCGGAGGAAGGUGGGGAUGACGUCAAAUCAUCAUGCCCCUUAUGACCUGGGCUACACACGUGCUACAAUGGAUGGUACAACGAGUUGCGAGACCGCGAGGUCAAGCUAAUCUCUUAAAGCCAUUCUCAGUUCGGACUGUAGGCUGCAACUCGCCUACACGAAGUCGGAAUCGCUAGUAAUCGCGGAUCAGCACGCCGCGGUGAAUACGUUCCCGGGCCUUGUACACACCGCCCGUCACACCAUGAGAGUUUGUAACACCCGAAGCCGGUGGCGUAACCCUUUUAGGGAGCGAGCCGUCUAAGGUGGGACAAAUGAUUAGGGUGAAGUCGUAACAAGGUAACCA
This 1522-nucleotide ribosomal RNA is filed under the name Lacticaseibacillus paracasei. Its description in RNAcentral is "bacterial SSU rRNA". It matches the Rfam family "Bacterial small subunit ribosomal RNA". The record is from RNAcentral. Lineage: Bacteria; Bacillati; Bacillota; Bacilli; Lactobacillales; Lactobacillaceae.